This 254-nucleotide ribosomal RNA is filed under the name uncultured bacterium. RNAcentral describes it as "partial 16S ribosomal RNA". It matches the Rfam family "Bacterial small subunit ribosomal RNA", at positions 524 to 776 of the family's 1533-position model. The record is from RNAcentral.
UACGUAGGGUGCAAGCGUUGUCCGGAAUCAUUGGGCGUAAAGCGCGCGUAGGUGGCUUCGUAAGUCCGUUGUGAAAGUCAAAGGCUCAACCUUUGAAUGCCGAUGGAUACUGCGAAGCUAGAGUACGGAAGAGGCGAGUGGAAUUCCUGGUGUAGCGGUGGAAUGCGCAGAUAUCAGGAGGAACACCAAUAGCGAAGGCAGCUCGCUGGGACGUUUACUGACACUAAGGCGCGAAAGCGUGGGGAGCGAACAGG